CCCUUAGACGUUCUGGGCCGCACGCGCGCUACACUGACCAGUGCAACAAGCAUCCGUCCUUGGCCGACAGGCCCGGGCAAUCUUUGAACGCUGGUCGUGAUGGGGAUAGACUUUUGCAAUUUUUGGUCUUCAACGAGGAAUUCCUAGUAAGCGCGAGUCAUCAGCUCGUGCUGAUUACGUCCCUGCCCUUUGUACACACCGCCCGUCGCUCCUACCGAUUGAGUGGUCCGGUGAAUAAUUCGGACUGCAGCACUGCUUGGUCUCCAGGCUUUGCAGCGGAAAGUUUAGUGAACCUUAUCACUUAGAGGAAGGAGAAGUCGUAACA
RNAcentral lists this ribosomal RNA (325 nucleotides) under uncultured eukaryote. Its description in RNAcentral is "partial 18S ribosomal RNA". It matches the Rfam family "Eukaryotic small subunit ribosomal RNA", at positions 1470 to 1796 of the family's 1831-position model. The record is from RNAcentral.